This 269-nucleotide small nuclear RNA is filed under the name Marmota monax (woodchuck). RNAcentral's name for it is "7SK RNA". It matches the Rfam family "7SK RNA". Rfam says of the family: 7SK was discovered as an abundant small nuclear RNA in the mid-70s but a possible function has only recently been suggested. Two independent studies have found that 7SK RNA binds the CDK9/cyclin T complex (known as elongation factor P-TEFb). Lineage: Eukaryota; Metazoa; Chordata; Mammalia; Rodentia; Sciuridae. The record is from Rfam by way of RNAcentral.
GGAUGUGAGGGGCAAACAUCUGUCACCCCAUUGAUUGCCAAUGUUGAUUCAGCUGAUCUAGCUGGCUAGACAGGUGUCCCUUUCCUCCAGAAGCUGUACCCUCAGUUGAAGAGGAGAGCCCCGAUGUUCUUCGGUCAAGGGUACAUGAGUAUCUAUGUUCCCCGCUAGAACUUCCAAAGAAGCUCUCAAAAACCUCAGUAAAGCCAGGCACAGUGGUGUAUGCCUUUUUUUUAAUAUUUAUUUUUAGUCAUAUGUGGGCACUAUAUUUU